RNAcentral lists this ribosomal RNA (465 nucleotides) under uncultured bacterium. Its description in RNAcentral is "partial 16S ribosomal RNA". It matches the Rfam family "Bacterial small subunit ribosomal RNA", at positions 28 to 507 of the family's 1533-position model. The record is from RNAcentral.
GACGAACGCUGGCGGCGUGCUUAACACAUGCAAGUCGAACGGAAAGGCCCCUUUGGGGGUCCUCGAGUGGCGAACGGGUGAGUAACACGUGAGUAACCUGCCCUUGACUUCGGGAUAACUUCAGGAAACUGGGGCUAAUACCGGAUAGGAAUCCUUGCUGCAUGGUGGGGGUUGGAAAGCUUCGGCGGUUUUGGAUGGACUCACGGCUUAUCAGCUUGUUGGUGGGGUAGUGGCUUACCAAGGCUUUGACGGGUAGCCGGCCUGAGAGGGCGACCGGCCACACUGGGACUGAGAUGCGGCCCAGACUCCUACUGGAGGCCGCAGUGGGGAAUCUUGCACCAUGGGCGGAAGCCUGAUGCAGCAACGCCGCGUGCGGGAUGACGGCCUUCGGGUUGUAAACCGCUUUCAGCAGGGGCGAAGCUUGUGGUGACGGUACCUGCAGAAGAAGCACCGGCUAACUACGUG